This 67-nucleotide transfer RNA is filed under the name Megalamphodus megalopterus (black phantom tetra). Its description in RNAcentral is "Hyphessobrycon megalopterus (black phantom tetra) tRNA-Cys". It matches the Rfam family "tRNA". From Rfam's summary of the family: Transfer RNA (tRNA) molecules are approximately 80 nucleotides in length. Their secondary structure includes four short double-helical elements and three loops (D, anti-codon, and T loops). The record is from RNAcentral. Lineage: Eukaryota; Metazoa; Chordata; Actinopteri; Characiformes; Acestrorhamphidae.
AGCCUUGUGGUGUAAGAGCACACUGAAUUGCAAAUUCAUAUGUGUAGAUUAAAAUCUACCGGGGCUU